This 1502-nucleotide long non-coding RNA is filed under the name Setaria italica (foxtail millet). RNAcentral's name for it is "long non-coding RNA (SITA_LNC003404)". Lineage: Eukaryota; Viridiplantae; Streptophyta; Magnoliopsida; Poales; Poaceae. The record is from RNAcentral.
AAGGUCUCAGCUCCUGAGCGACGAGAAGCAGCAGAGGCGAACCGGUUAGCCGUCGUGUUCGAUCAACAGACAAUCCGCUGUUGCGCCGCCGUCUGUUCCCUCUCCCAGUGCGUGCUCACCUCCAGCAGGCGUGCCCUGCUGUCCUCUCCUGCUUGCCGCGAGCCCCCCUGUCGUCCACCGAGCUCCCGGCCCAGAUGUGAGUGAUCCUUUUGCCUCCCAGCUGAUGUUUGUAUUUCCAUCGGUUCUUGCUUGCUUACAUGUACGUGGGAUGCAGGUCCGACGGCAACGAGUUCGCCGAGCUGCUAUGGGAGAACGGGCAGGCAGUGGUGCACGGCCGGAGGAAGCAGACGCAGACUUCGUUCCCGCCCUUCACCUGCGCUGCUGCCAGCAGCAGCCGGGCUCAAGAGAAGCAGCCGGGAAGCGACCCCGUGGCGCUGUUCAAGACGGGAGGUGUCUUCGGCGCCGGUGGAUUGGUAACAUCGGUUCACGACUUCUCUUCCGGCCUAGACGCCACCCGUGACAACGGUGAUCUUGAUGAUACCGUGCCCUGGAUCCACUACCCCAUCAUCGAGGAAGACAGCGCCGCCGCACCUGCCCUUGCAGAGAGCUACAGUCCAGAUUUCUUCUCGGAGCUCCAUGCAGCGGCAGCGGCGGCAGCAGCGACCAACCCCAGCUCUCUGCCGCCGCCUAUCCAGCACACCACCAACAACAGAAGCACCCCGAUUGCCACCACCAGCAGAGAACCAGAACCCUCGAAGGAAAGCCACCGCAUGCCAGUUCCAGGUCCAGCCACCAGGCCUGAACCACCACAAGCCGAGUUCGCGGCCACCAAGCAGACUCGGCUGGGAGGCGGCGCAGAGGGCUUGAUGAACUUCUCCCUCUUCUCUAGGCCGGCAGCCAUGGCGCGAGCAAGCCUGCAGAGCGCACAGAGGCCACCACAAACAGGCACAGACAAGGCGUCCAAUGUCACCACGAGUACCCGCGUGGAGUCCACGGUUCUCCAGUCAUCCAUCGGGCCAAGAACUACUCCUGUUUUCACGGACCAGAGGACGGCGUGGUCACAGCCCAAGGAGGUGCGGUUCUCAUGCACGGCAGCGCCAACCGCUGGUAACCUGCAGCAAGAGAUGCCCCGGGACAGACUUGGCAGCAUGACUCUGCAGAAACAGGUCAAGACCAGGAAGGAGCCUGAGGCCGCAGUCGCUACUUCGUCAGUCUGCUCCGGCAAUGGAGCUGGAAUAGGAAAUGAUGAGUCCUGGCGCCAACACAAGAGGAAGAGUCAAGCCGAGUGUUCUGCCAGCCAAGAUGAUGUAAGUAGAUAAUAUGAUAUGCAAUGUAUUUGAUCUAACCAUAUACCUUGCAGUGCUAAUUGUAGGAUUACUGGUCCUCUUCAGGAUCUUGAAGAUGAGUCCGGUGGUGCCAGAAGAUCUGGCAGCAGAGGCACGAAGCGCAGCCGCACCGCCGAGGUGCACAAUUUGUCAGAAAGGGUAAGCAGGCCGCUUCAC